AUCAUGUUCAACUCCUUUGCACACUUUUAUAACCCCAUAACUUUCAUGAGGAAACCAGAGUCCACAUAGACCCAUUGACUUAAAGUUUUUUUUACCUAGACUCUUGGGCUGUUUGAAAUCCUGUGAGAUUUUGCGAGAUGGAAAAUGAGUUUUUAAAAGUUGGGUGGUGCCUAUCGUUUGAUCUAGGAGAGCAUGUAAUGGACAAAGAAGUUUAGAGCUGGCUGAUGCAGGCUAGGCCUCCAUUUGAUGGUGAGCUACCACUAGCCCUCUGGCCCAUGGACCCUGGAAACUCAAUUGCUGGAUCUCCAUCUAUGCGGUCGGAGGCAUUGUAGUCUGUCCCCAUCACCUCCAAAUACUGUAAAUAAUUUUCCAACUACAAGAUAAAUCACUUUAUGAUGUAUAUCAUUAAGUGAUUUUUGAUAUAAAUGCAGUAUUUUUCUGUCUCUG
Long non-coding RNA from Gambusia affinis (western mosquitofish), 447 nucleotides. RefSeq lists it as uncharacterized. The record is from RefSeq and is a predicted model, not a curated record. The transcript is spliced from 3 exons. NCBI's taxonomy places the organism in Eukaryota, Metazoa, Chordata, Actinopteri, Cyprinodontiformes, Poeciliidae.